AGUCGAACGGGCACCUUCGGGUGUCAGUGGCAGACGGGUGAGUAACACGUGGGAACAUACCCUUCGGUUCGGAACAACUCAGGGAAACUUGAGCUAAUACCGGAUACGCCCUUACGGGGAAAGAUUUAUUGCCGAAGGAUUGGCCCGCGUCUGAUUAGCUAGUUGGUGAGGUAACGGCUCACCAAGGCGACGAUCAGUAGCUGGUCUGAGAGGAUGAUCAGCCACACUGGGACUGAGACACGGCCCAGACUCCUACGGGAGGCAGCAGUGGGGAAUAUUGGACAAUGGGCGAAAGCCUGAUCCAGCCAUGCCGCGUGAGUGAUGAAGGCCUUAGGGUUGUAAAGCUCUUUCGACGGGGACGAUAAUGACGGUACCCGUAGAAGAAGCCCCGGCUAACUUCGUGCCAGCAGCCGCGGUAAUACGAAGGGGGCUAGCGUUGCUCGGAAUCACUGGGCGUAAAGGGCGCGUAGGCGGCCAUUCAAGUCAGAGGUGAAAGCCCAGGGCUCAACCUUGGAAUUGCCUUUGAUACUGUUUGGCUUGAGACCGGAAGAGGUAAGUGGAACUGCGAGUGUAGAGGUGAAAUUCGUAGAUAUUCGCAAGAACACCAGUGGCGAAGGCGGCUUACUGGUCCGGUUCUGACGCUGAGGCGCGAAAGCGUGGGGAGCAAACAGG
RNAcentral lists this ribosomal RNA (672 nucleotides) under uncultured Alphaproteobacteria bacterium. Its description in RNAcentral is "bacterial SSU rRNA". It matches the Rfam family "Bacterial small subunit ribosomal RNA", at positions 60 to 776 of the family's 1533-position model. Lineage: Bacteria; Pseudomonadati; Pseudomonadota; Alphaproteobacteria. The record is from RNAcentral.